Lutra lutra (Eurasian river otter) is the source of this 552-nucleotide long non-coding RNA. RefSeq lists it as uncharacterized. Lineage: Eukaryota; Metazoa; Chordata; Mammalia; Carnivora; Mustelidae. The record is from RefSeq and is a predicted model, not a curated record. The transcript has 3 exons.
UGGUGACAAUGGGGAGACCUGGGAAGGUGCAGGCAGUGAUCUGACCUCCCCGAUCUCAUUUCAUGCCAGGUCCUGGCUUCCUCGGCUGAGCUGGACUUUUGGCACCUUUCGGACCUAGGAUUUCCACCUCCCGGGUGUCACAGCCGAUCCUCAAGAUAAGCCACCAGGAAUCAGUCAGAAGCCAUGACCAGUGGCGACGACUGUGAAGCAGAGUCAUGGUUCAGGAAGAAAACAUCCUGCUCACCCGGGAAGAGAAUGCCCAAGUAUUCACAGGACACACAUCAAAACACGAAGGAACAAGGCAGAGCCCUCGACAUUCAAGUAGAACCUGUUUCCACUGGCAAGCAUGGUGCCCAGAAUCCCGUCCGUCCACUUUCUGGUGGCAGCAAGGCCCCCGGGUGUAUCAUUUCCUGGGGAGAAGAAAGUCUUCAGAGACCCAACAGGUCGGUCUAGAUGGAACACGGUCCUGAGUCCUUGCAUGUCCUGCUGUCACCAAAUUAGGCUUCCACAGUCCAGGGCCUUCAACUGGUCUCUGAGCAGCUGCACCAGUAG